Molecule: ribosomal RNA, 253 nt
Filed under: uncultured bacterium
Lineage: Bacteria
Description: partial 16S ribosomal RNA
Rfam family: Bacterial small subunit ribosomal RNA
Source: RNAcentral
UACGAAGGGGGCUAGCGUUGCUCGGAAUGACUGGGCGUAAAGGGCGCGUAGGCGGAUGGCUUUGUCGGGCGUGAAAUUCCAGGGCUUAACCUUGGGGCUGCGUUCGAGACGGGUUGUCUAGAGUUUGGAAGAGGGUCGUGGAAUUCCCAGUGUAGAGGUGAAAUUCGUAGAUAUUGGGAAGAACACCCGUGGCUAAGGCGGCUCUCUAGUACGGUACUGACGCUGAGACGCGAAAGCGUGGGGAGCGAACAGG